GCAGUGUGAACUGUGAAGAGAAUGCUAUGAGGAUGCAGGGUGACAGACAGGUUGGGUGAGUGGGCAGGUGCAUGGCAGAUGCAGUAUAAAUGUGAGGUUGUCCACUUUUGUUGCAAGAACAGGAAGGCAGAUUAUUAUCUGAAUGGUGUCAGGUUAGGAAAAGGGGAAGUACGAGACCUGGGUGUCCUAGUAUAUUAGCCACUGAAAGUAAGCAUGCAGGUACAGCAAACAGUGAAGAAAGCUCAUGGCAUGUUGGCCUUCAUAACGAGAGAAGUUGAGUAUAGGAGCAAAGUGGUCCUUCUGUAGUUAUACAGGGUCCUGGUGAGACCACACCUGGAGUAUUGUGUGCAGUUUUGGUCGCCUAAUUUGAGGAAGGACAUUCAUGCUAUUGAGAGAGUGCAGCGUAGGUUCACGAGGUUAAUUCCCGGGAUGGCGUAACUGUCAUAUGAUGGAAGAAUGGAACAACUGGGCUUAUAUUCACUGGAAUUUAGAUGAGAGGGGAUCUUAUAGAAACAUGUAAAAUUAUUAAGGGAUUGGACAAGUUAGAUGCAGGAAACAUGUUCCCUAUGUUGGGGGAAUCCAGAACCAGGGGCACAGUUUAAGAAUAAGUGGUAGGCCAUUUAGAACUGAGAUGAGGAAAUAUAUUGUCACAGAGUUGUGAAUUUGUGGAAUUCUCUGCCUUGGAAGGCAGUGGAGGCCAAUUCACUGGAUACAUUCAAAAAAGAGGUAGAUAGAGCUCUCAGGGCUAGUGGCAUCAAGGGGGAGAAGGCAGGCACUGGUUACUGAUUGUGGAUAGUCAGCCAUUAUCACAUUGAAUGGCAUUGCUGGCUCGAAUGGCCUACUCCUGCACGUAUUGUCUAUGUAUCUAUACACACGGUACCAUGUAAAUCUUGGUUCAGGAUUCCUACUGGUGACCUGGGAUAAAGAUUAUUGUUUUGAGUAGUUGCUGUAAAUAGAUAGACAUUGACCACUGCAACUUUGCUGUAUGUACCCAUGUUUCACAUAUAUAUUGAGUAUAAGAGGUUGAAUGUCCUACUCAACUACUCUUCUCCUAAGUCCCCAGCUGUACUUUAGACCUUGAUUAACAGAUACAAAUCAAUACAAAUAGAAAGGGCAUUAUGAUGUCACAGUGGUAGAGUUGCUGCCUUACAGCACCAGUAGACCCUUGUUCGAUCCCGACUACAAGUGCUGUCUGUAUGGGGUUUGUACGCUCUCCCCUUGACCACUUGGGUGUUCUCAGAUAUUCAGUUUCCUCCCACAUUCUAAAGACGUCCAGGUUUGUAGAUUAAUUGACAUGGUAUAAGUGUACACUGUCCUUAGUGUGUGUAGGAUAGUGUUAAUGUGCGGGGAUCGCUGGUGGGCAUGGACUCAAUGGGCCGAAGGGCCUGUUUCUGACCUGUAUCUUUAAACUGAACUAAACGAAGAAUAAGUCAAAGCUUGCUCUUGGGUUCGCACAGGGAUGGAAGGAUGUUAGGAAAACAGUGGAGUCAUUCAUGUGAUAAGAUAUAACUACUAAGAUGUACUGUUCCCAAUAUUGUGCAUCUAGGUCAAUUAACUUCAAUGAUGAGACACCAUAUAUUAAAUGUAGAAUAUUCAUAACACUAAUGAACAAGGAGGAUGUUGUUACUCUCCUGGGAGAUUGUAAUUGUCUGGAAUUAUAGAAAGCAACAUAAAGUCUGCCGCGUUGAUUAAACUACAAGAGACUGAUUUAAAAUACACAGGAUUUACAAAGACUUGGUGGUAUGGAUUCCGAAGUGGCUUACUGAUAGAGGACAGAGGAAUGUGGUGGAAGGACUAUAUUCAGGCUGUGGGUCUGUGACCAGUGGAGAUCUGCAGGGAUCAAUGCUGGAACCGCUGCUUUUUGUGAUAUGUAUAAAUGACAUGGACGUAAACGUAGAUGGAUUGGUUGGCACGUUUGCAGUUCACAGCAAUUUUGCUGGGGUCGCAGACUGUGAGGAAGGCUGUCAAGAUGUAUGCCGAGAUAAGUCAGCUACAAAAAUGGGUGGCAAAUGGCAGAUAGCGCUUAAUCUGAGUAAAUAUCAGGUGUGGCACUUUGGAAAGUUCAAGUCUAAGGGAAAAUGUACAAUUAAUGCAUGACCACCAACAGCGUGGAUUAGAGCGAUUUUGGGGUCCAAGUCCAUAACUCCCUGAAAGUGACAGGGAGAUAGAGUGGUAAAGAAAACAUCUGACAUUCUUGCUUUCAUAGGAAAAUGCAUUGAGUAUAAGAGUCAAGAAAUUAUGAUAAAGCUUUGUUGGACAUUGGUUUGGAUGCGUUACAUGUGGUUCUGGUCGCCCAAGUACAGGAAGGAUGUGGAAACUUUGGAAAGGAUGCAGAAGAGAAUUACCAAGGCGAUACAUGGAUUAGAGGGUAUUAGCUACAGGGAGAGGUUGGACAGACUUGGAUUGUUUUCUCUGGAACUUCAGAGGUUGUGGGGAGACCUGAUAGAAGGAUGUAAAAUUAGGAGAGGCAUAGAUAGGAUAGAGAGUCAAAAUAUUUUUCCUAGGAUUAAAAAAUUAAAUACUUGAGGGCAUAGCUUUAAGAUGAGAGGGCCAAAGUUUAAGGGAGAUGGGUAGGGCAGCAUGUUGAGAACCUGGAAUGCCCUGCCAGAGCUGGUGAUUGAGGCAGAUGCAAUAGUGGCAUUCAAGAUACUUUGGGAUUUGCAGGGAAUAUAGGGAUAUGGAUUAUGUAUAGUAAAUUGAGAGAAGGACAUCAUCAUGUUCAGCAGACAUUGUGGGCUGAAUGACCUCUUCUUAUGCUGUACUAUGUAGUUUUUUGUUUCAUACUAGUUCUAUGUUAUCCUACUUUCUCAACCACCCUGCACAUUAGGACAAUUUUACUGAGACCAAUUAAGUUAUAAACCUACGUGUCUUUAUGAUGUGGGAGGAAACCGAAACACCCCAAGGUCUGAAGAAAGGUCUCGACCCAAAAAGUCACCCAUUCCUGAUCUCCAGAUGUGUUGCUUGUCCCUGCUGAGUUACUACAGCAUUUUGUAUCUACCCUGAGGUAUCCCACAUGGUCAUAGGGAGAGCGUACAAACUCCACAUAAAUAGCACUCGAGUUUAGGAUUGAGUCCGGAACUCUGGCAGCAGCUCGACCAGCAGCACCACUGUGCUGCCCUAAGUUAUUAAUUUGUUAAAAUCUUAAUGAUGAAUCAAGGUCACAAAAGUAAUCUAAUUCAAGCUAGUUCCGUUUUUCUACUCAUCUCUCUACUUCUUAAAUUGUGUUGCCAGACUGGCUAAUGCAAUGAAUUCUGAUGGUUAGAGAAAUAGAAUCAUAGUUAGAGCAUGGAAAUAGGCUGUUUGGCCCAACAUGCCCACACUGACCGACAUGUCCCAGCUACACUUGUUCCACCUGCCUGCGUUUGGCCCAUGUCCCUCCAAACCUGUCCUAUCCAUGUACCCGUCCAAGUUUCUUAAACAUUGCAAUAGUCCCUGCUCAACUACCUCCUCUGCCAGCUUGUUCCAUACAUCCACCACCACCCUUUGUGUGAAAAAGUUACCCCUCAGAUUCCUAUUAAAUGUAUACCCUUUCACCUUAAACCUAUGUCCUCUGGUCCUCGGUUCUCCUACUCUGGGCAAGAGACUAUGUGCAUUUACCUGAUCUAUUCUUCUCAUUAUUUUAUAAUCAUCCAUAAGAUUAAUAUUGUACAGAAACUUUGGAUGGUAAAGAAGCAGGCUGAGUGGGUAUUCUAGGCCGAGUUGCAGCAAGUUGAAGAGUUUUUCUCCAUUCAGACCAGGCAGGAUCUAAAAUGCUUUGUCUUAUUUGAGGCACAUCCCAUAAAACUGUGCACUUCAGGAACUGUAACCCUCAAGGUCACUGGCAGAGGACUGCGGCCGUCUGUCCACCUCCACGGGCAUCAUCCCCGUCUCUCUCCCCCACCCUAAAAAAAACCCACACAAACAGUGCUGGAGAAACGCAGCGGGGUAGGUAGCAGCUCUGGAGGGAAUAGACAGAGGACGUUUCGGUUAGUCCCGUCUUCAAGGAAAAGGGUCUGAGGUUUGAAGAAAGGAGUCGCCGCGACCGGAAUCGUCCCCGUCCAUUCGCUCUACAGAUGACGGGAGUCCGGGGGUUUCUAGUUUGGGGCGGACGGACGUGAGGUGAUCGCUAUGGAAACGCCGGCAUUGCUUCCUGCGGCCUGGGCCCAACAUGGACGCUGCUGCUGCUGUUGUUUGCAGCAAGGCUGCCGUCGCUGUACACAACCAUGCGGACAAGGACACGUUUUUGCGAGAGGUUUACCCACUGAGAAAACCAGCAGUUCUUAAAGGAAUUUACCUGGGUGCAUGCACAUCGAAAUGGACAGUGGAUUACCUGAGCUCGGCUGGAGGGAGCCAAGAGGUCAAAGUCCAUGUUGCUUCAGUACCACAGAUGGAUUUUAUCAACAAAAAUUUUAACUACAGGUUGAGGUAUCGGAAGACUGGAAGAUAGCUAAUAUUGUUUCCACAUUCAAGAAGGAUGAUGUGGAUAUGGAAAGAAACGUUAUGCCGUUGAGCCUUAUGUCAGUAGUUAUGGAACUAUUGAAAAAAAAAUCAGAGAGAUGUCAUAUAUAAUCCAUUUGAAGGUCUGGUUCUGAUCAUGGAAGUCGGCAUAAAUUUGUGCAUGGGAAGUUCUGUCUCGCAAAUCUGUUUGAAUUUUUUGAGGGGGCUAUGAAGAAAAGUGAUGUAGGUAAGGAGGUAUUUGAUAAAUUUGAUCAAGGUUUUUGAUAAACUCUGUGUAGUCAGUCAGCUCAUUGAGUAAAGUAAGGGCACCUGAGAUCCAAUAUAUUUAGGCAAACUGGGUACAAAAUUGUCUAGUUAAUAAGGCAGUGGGUAGUUAGUGAUGCAUGGUUGUUUUUCUGACUGGAAGUCUAACCGUUGAUUUAUCACAAGUGUUGGGGCCUUUGUUGGACACAAUUCUUCAAUUCUAACUCGAAACAUCACCUUCCAUUUUCUCCAGAGAUGCUGCCUGACCCACUGAUUUACUCUAGGAUUAAACUGGACUCACUGAAUGUCCCUAUCCAGCUAUCCAGCAAGCUAAACAAUUGAUCCAAUAAAGACCAGUAGAGACGAGCUGUCGUUUAAUGCUUUACUGUAUUCAAAUGUGAAACUGCAACAUAUAAGCACAAAAAGAAACAACAUAGGGUUUAGUUACGUUAUACGUUUACUAUAGGAACCUAAAUGAGGAUGCCACCACCAAACACAGUGGUGGUAUGCAAGGCACCAGCGGUGGUAUACAUUAAACCUCUUAAACUUUGUUAAUAAUAACAAUCCUGCUCAAUAACAUUCAUCAUAUCAUCUAUCUAUCUAUCUAUCUA
RNA transcript from Leucoraja erinaceus (little skate), 5291 nucleotides. It is a transcript of the gene named tRNA wybutosine-synthesizing protein 5-like, with no coding region annotated. The record is from RefSeq and is a predicted model, not a curated record. NCBI's taxonomy places the organism in Eukaryota, Metazoa, Chordata, Chondrichthyes, Rajiformes, Rajidae. The transcript is spliced from 4 exons.